RNAcentral lists this long non-coding RNA (2417 nucleotides) under Gallus gallus (chicken). Its description in RNAcentral is "lncRNA (ENSGALG00010026478.1)". The record is from RNAcentral. Lineage: Eukaryota; Metazoa; Chordata; Aves; Galliformes; Phasianidae.
CUGCAUGCAGCCCCAGCCCUACAGAGGUCCUGCUGGUUCCCUUGGUCUCACCCCAUGAGGCAGUACCAAGUCUCUACGGUGGGAAGUUAUGGAGUGAAAGGCUCCAUCCACUGCUUAAGUGUAGACAGCACCGUCCUGCUGCUUUCCGCAGGUUGGCCUGAGCUGCUGCUGCUGCUGCACCACGGAGCCGCAUGGCUGUGGAAGCCCACGUGCAACAGAGCGGGGACCUGCAGCAGCACGGAGCCGCGAGCGGUGCCCCGUGCGCCUUCCCUGCUCGGUAUUUGCAGCCCUAUUUGCGAGCCAGACUGGGGUCGACCCAGCAUCCCGUGGCCGACGGCCUUGGAUGCGUUUUGCAAUCGCCUCCGCUUUGCACCAACUUGAGGAAAACCGGGAAAAGGUGAAAAGCAACGAAGCUGGCUCCCACAUUGUUCGUUUCCAAAUGAGAUAGCAAAGCUGCCGCUCCGGUCCGCAGGGGCACCGUCUGCCAUGAGUCAGCAAGCAGCCAGAUUUACUGCCGAUUGAUUAAAUUAGCAUUUGUUACAAGCCAGAGAGGGAGGCUGAGGGAGAAAUCCUCUUCACGGCUCCUGAAUUAUUUAUGCCCUAGAAGCCUCCGGCGCAGGCUGCAACGUACCCACGCGGGGACAUGCUGGAACCUUGUAGUGCCCCACAUCCCCCGACAAAGCUCGGCAAUAGGGUUGCAAUAGGGUUGUCCUGCGUGCAUGGGUUCGUCGCUGCCGUGCCGCUCCAGAGGACAUCUUGCUCCCCUUGUUUUGGCGACGGGCUUUGUUCUCCCCAUAAUGGUGUGAUGGAUGGAAGGGAAGCACCGCUGUAUUUUAAACGCCCUGCGUCCGAUGCAUCGUUUUUUAAUCGUGUCAGAGUGACUGUAGGUUUGUGCAAGGAAGGGAAGGCAGCACUGGUUUUGCUCUGCUCCCUUGGCAGGAGGCCAAGCAUGGGGGGGGGGGAGGGGGAAAACAAAGCUGAAUUCCCACCAAUUUGAUGUGAGAUCUCUUUCCUAGGCACUGAUAAUUAAUCUGGAUGGAGUCAGCCAGGCGCCCUGAAACCUCGGCGCAGCCUGUCUCCAAGUGCAGCACUCAAGACUUGAGGCAGUGGGCUCAGGACACGACCAAUAUCCCCUGUGACAACACCAUCAGGAUGUGUUUCCUGGCUUGACCAUGUGUGAGCCCCACAGCCUCUCGCAGGGGAGAGAAGAGUUGAGAAGAGCAGAACAGUGCUGUCCCAGGACAGAGGACUGCCAGCACACCUGCCCUGGAGAAUGAAUUUAGAACAGGGCUUUUUCCUUGCAAAGGCUGUGGUGCAUCUCCUUGAUACAGUGAAUCCAUACUGAUGAAUGGGUGUCCGGAGCCCUUUCCCAGCCAGCCUGUGAAAAUUCCUGGACAACAUCAUGCUGUGAAGCUCCAGGUCUUUGCUGUCACAGGUCGGAGGAAUGCCAAGGCCACGUCUGGCAGGCAUCAGGGGACCAGCCGCAGCCGCCCCCAGAAGCAGCAUGAGCCCCGGAGCCAGGCACAGCCCUCCCACGUCUCCUUUGUGCCUCAAGACGCCCGGCCCCGCACCCACCCCCCAAGGGCUGCUUUCCCUGUUGAUAAUCCAUUAUCUACAUUUAAUGCCUCGCUGACGUCCUUCCCUUUGUCUGAUGGUGAAACCUCGACCAGAUGUGAAGCUUCUUAUGUUACUAAUGGCAAAUCCUUUUGCAAUAGCUGGUUGGAAAAUGGGGAAACUGUUUUCAUGAAGUGAAAAUUGAAACAUUGGAGUAAUUUUCAUUCUGCAAGCCUCACAAAGGAGUGGUUUUUAUUUGAGGUCAUUUCUAUUUUUUUUUUCCAGAAAAAAAGCUGUAGCUCAGAAGAUGAGUUUGUGGUAGCGCUCUCACCACUGAACAUUUCUGCUGUCCCAGUGCAGUUCCUAUUACUCUCGUGUUCCACUUCUGAAAAAAAAUGAAGUGGGGGAAGGGAGGUGGCACAGCCCAGGUCUGCAGGCUGCCUGAUGCCUUGCUGGGGCAGCUUAAGGCUUGGGAUACAGCCUGCCCUGGGCAGAGCCAUGAUAGCUGGAGCAGCGAGUCCUUGCCCUGCUGACAACUUAAAGAGGGUCAGCCACAACCCCCCUAUAAAGCAGAGGUGGUAAGGUGUGGCUGAGGAUGGCUCAAUCGUUUGCUGCCUCUCUGAGCAGUGUCCCCAGUAAGCUAUGCAGUGGGAGCGCCUGGGUGAAGAGCAGAAAGCACCCCUUGGUGCAGCGCGUGUUGGUGGGAGAGCAGACAGGCAGCAGUACCCAAACAAAGCCCUCGAGGGUUUGCAGAUGGAGCCAUGGUGCUGCAGGCUAGGAUCUAAACUGAGACCCCCAGGCUACGGGCAUGCAGCUAACACAGCAUGCAGCCCCUUUCUGGAGAGCGACAGCACUAGCAGGGC